Molecule: transfer-messenger RNA, 347 nt
Filed under: Bdellovibrio svalbardensis
Lineage: Bacteria; Pseudomonadati; Bdellovibrionota; Bdellovibrionia; Bdellovibrionales; Pseudobdellovibrionaceae
Rfam family: transfer-messenger RNA
About the family: Bacterial tmRNA, also known as 10Sa RNA or SsrA, is named for its dual tRNA and mRNA-like properties. Its role is to liberate the mRNA from a stalled ribosome.
Source: RNAcentral
GGGGGCGUACUGGCUUCGACGUGGGUGCUGAAACAUAAGGAGCAUACCGGGGCGGAUGAGGACCUCGAUAAAAACGUCCAUUUUGUAAUUGGCAACGAUUACGCACUUGCAGCUUAAUUGACUGCACGAUCUCCCUUGAGGCGGCUGCGCUCUUGGAUAGAUUGUCACUUUAGUGGCCUCGGCGUGUUGGGUUUUCUCCAGCAGACUCGCUUAAAUACACUGGGGGAAUGUGUCGCGUAUAUUUUGUCUGUAGAAGCUGCGCGAACAAAUUAAAAUACUGACUAAGUAUGUAGCGCCUUAUCGCGGAUCACUUGCGGACGGGGGUUCAAUUCCCCCCGCCUCCACCU